Molecule: ribosomal RNA, 468 nt
Filed under: uncultured bacterium
Lineage: Bacteria
Description: partial 16S ribosomal RNA
Rfam family: Bacterial small subunit ribosomal RNA (bases 59-468)
Source: RNAcentral
GGGGGGGGGGGGGGGGGGGGGGGGGGGGGGGGGGGGGGGGGGGGGGGGGGGGGGGGGGGGGGGGGGUCGGGGGGCGGGGGGGGGAGUGGCGCGUGGGUGGCCUGCCCGUGGCGUGGGGCUACCGUCAGGACACUGGGGCUGCUACCGGCUAGGCGCUCCUGCUGCCUGGUGGGGGGUGGGCAGGUUCGGCGGUUGGGGACGGACUCGCGGCUUAUCAGCUUGUUGGUGGGGUAGUGGCUUACCAAGGCUUUGACGGGUAGCCGGCCUGAGAGGGUGACCGGCCACAUUGGGACUGAGAGACGGCCCAGACUCCUACGGGAGGCAGCAGUGGGGAAUAUUGCACAAUGGGCGGAAGCCUGAUGCAGCAACGCCGCGUGCGGGAUGACGGCCUUCGGGUUGUAAACCGCUUUCGCCUGUGACGAAGCGUGAGUGACGGUAAUGGGUAAAGAAGCACCGGCUAACUACGUG